Long non-coding RNA from Spinacia oleracea (spinach), 3383 nucleotides. RefSeq lists it as uncharacterized. The transcript is spliced from 13 exons. Lineage: Eukaryota; Viridiplantae; Streptophyta; Magnoliopsida; Caryophyllales; Amaranthaceae. The record is from RefSeq and is a predicted model, not a curated record.
CCUGCCCUAAGUCUUUCUUCCUCCUCCUUUUUCUUGCUCGAGCUUCCCUCUUCUCUUUCCUCUUGCUUCUCUUCUUGGUAUAAUCUCAUCCGCCAUCUCCUAUAGAAAAUUUCCGACUACACAAUUCACAAAUGAAGGGAGGUUGGAUCUAUUAGAUUGAGACUUUAGGUUUUAAUUCAAAUAUCGCUAAGAUUCUCCGCCUUCGAUUGGUAAGCUCUUCCGAUCUGAAUUAAUUGUUACAAUAUUCAAUUGUUUUAGCAGAUUUCUUCGGUUGCCCUGUCGAGUCGUCGCCGAGUAUCCCAGCGCUGCCGCCUUCCGCACUGGUUGCUCACUUGCUCGUCGUUGUGGAGCCGUGGAGGGUCAUCGGUCUCGACCAGGGGUGGAGCUCUCUACGGACUACAUUGCAGAUCGAUUAAUUGGGGUUUUGUAAGUUUGUUACUGCAAUUUGGUACUGUGGCAGCUGGCGCCGGAUUCAUCUUACCGCAGUUUGGUAUCCCUUGGAAUUACAAGCAUUCAAGGACAGACCGUUGCUUCAUUUGAGAGAGAUGAUGUUGGUCGUCUUCUUUUUCCUGCACAAGACAGGAGAAAGAUAUGCAUCCACGUAAUGAUGAUUUAAUGGGACUUAUAGUCCAGUUUUUCCCAUCCGGAAGAAGCUAAAAGUAGCAGCAAUGAGGUCCAUACCUCAAACUAAUAUUCGAAAAAUAUGCCUUUUGCGGGGAUCGUGCAAGUAGAUAACUACAGGCCAACUGAAGCUCAGCUUGCCAGUGCUUCCACCAACCAAGCAUAGUGUCUUCAUCAAAUCCUGCACCAAAUAUAAGGUCUUCUAUCACUUUCCAGGCUAAGAUUUCCUUAAAUCCAAUACCUAUGAAUAAGCAUGGAUGUGGCAGAUCACCUAUAACUCAAAGGACGAGUUCUUAAAGGAUGUAAUGUUAUUUCUUAUGCAUCGUGGACACAUUCAUGUCAUCCCUCAAGAUGGGCUAGCAGAGUUCCUGGUGCCAUUCUCAACUCCAAGUGUCUGGAUCUUUACAACUUGUAUAGAGAGGAGGUAGUUUUCAAACUGGAGUCGAACACACUAGGAAAAUGUAAUGCUCCACCACGGAGAGAGUUUGCUUCGUUGUUGCUUUGCAUUGAUGUGGCAAAAAUGGUGAUUAAACUAAGAUGGACAACAAAGGGAGCUGAGGGACGUAAACAAAUAGGCAUCUGGAAUUAUAAAGGCAAACAAUAUUAACAUAACGUCGGGCGAAUGCUGGUUUGGGUCUUUAUUAUUUGAAAAAAAUUGUAUGCAUAUUAGUAUAUGAUGCAUGAUAAUGAUUAUUUUAACAAAUAAUGUCUUUUCCCAUUAAAAAGGUGUCAUGUAGGUUGCAGGCCUUGCGGCUCCAUGUUUAUCAAAAUAGAUAGCUAGGGGUCAUGUAAGUUGCGGUCAUUGCGGCUCCAUGUCUAUCAAAGUAGUAAACACUAUGUUGGAAUUAGAGGGAGUUUGCGGCAUUUCAGGGACCAGAAAGUGCUGAAGAUCGAGGACGAGGCUGCAGCAACUAUGACAUCAGUCUGAGAAUUAGAAGAAUAUGGCAGAUCCAAUUGCGAGGGUUUCUGCUCAAGUUGGUGCAUUGUUGAGAAAUGGGCUGCAGCAACUAUGACAUCAGUCUGAGAAUUAGAAGAAUAAGCGGCUUGAUGAUCGAUGGGAAUAUGCUUAAUGAGAUAACCAAUCAGCGGAAGAAGAAGAGGAGGAGAAAGAAGAUGUUGAGAAAGUGGAGUUGUCAAUGAAUGCACAGUUUAGUGCAAUGCAACUGUGUCCUUCAAUAUUUACAUCUGUGGAAGAUAAUGUUCAAUGUUUUGUCAAUCUCUCCAGUUAUUCGUCCGUAGAGCGAUAUUGAGUUGCGAAAGGCUGACUAUAAUACUGAACUCUUGAUGCCAUUGGAUAACAUACCCUUUUCCACGAGCACUGAGAGAGAAAGAACUGAAGAUAGUGUAUUCAGGAAUAAGUUGGAGUUUUUUUGCUGCCGGAAAAGUUUCUUCAUCGUUUCCCCCACCCGAUCUUCCGGAGAUUGCAUUUGCUGAUAUGUCAGUGUCAAAAGUGCAGAAUCUAUGGCUGCCGUUAAAGUGUCUUUUGCGUCUGUCAGUAUGGGAGACGAAAAGCCCUUUGCCUUAAUCUUCAGACACUAAUAGAUUUUUUUGUCUUGGCAGGAAGUAUUUCAAUUAAGGAUGCCAAACACAUUGUAAGCUUAUUGUUUUGUUUUAGUUGCUUGAAUAUUGGAGCACUCUAUAAUGCCUUACAAUGGAAAAGUAAUACUGAAAAUGGUAUGUUUUGGGCAGCUGAUUUUGAAUUGGCAGGCCAACUUGUGUGGCCUGGAGCAGUGUUGAUUGAAUAACUGGUCGAAAAAUGCUGAGAUAUAAAUAAACUUCUCAAAAAAUGCGUGAUUGUACUGACUACUAAUUAGGGUCGUGAUUAUCAGAUUAUGUUACAAAAAUGCAUUUUUUAACCAAAACAUAUAAUAGACCUUGCAGAUAAUUCGAGUGUAUCUCAUGGCUAAAUUGACAACAAUACUGUUUAAAUUGCUUAGGCUUUGUUAUCAUUUUUUUUUAUGGUUAAAACACAAAUAUAGAUUCACUAUUUAUCAUUUUUCAGUAUAUACUGUAAAAUGACAUUCGUUUUAGUUUUCAGAAUAGUAUAAAAGACAUUCUUUUUAUCGCGAUCCUACAAUACUUUCCACAUACCUUUUUCUGUGUAGUUUGUUUAGGUCAUGUUUUAUAGAGUGUAGUGGGUAAAGGAGACUCUUAGGAUUUAUAAAUUCCCAUUGAUAUGAAAAUCUAUAUUCCCGUGUUGUUAAAGUAAAUAACCUUAUUCCCUGUGUCGCAUCGCCUCUCAUCUCAUAUAACCUAAUUGUGUUAAACUAUUAAUAUUUUUGUACAGACUAAUAAGGCAGUUGCUUGUUCGGAGUUCAGAUUACAGCAUACAAAGAUGCCCUCCAGCACAAAGGGACUUAUGAAAUCACAUAUGCUCCAAUCCAAUCUGCAGACUAGCAGUGGAAACGAAACGAAUUUGAGAUGAUAUGAGGAAAGACUAUAUAUGGGAUAAGGUUUCAUACAAGUUUCCUCUUAACAAGUAGAGAUGGCAGCUUCGGAAGAGAAUAAUUCAUUGUUUCCUAUACUUAUUUUGAGUAUGAUGACAUUCCCUUUAGUGCCUUAUAAAUUUCAAAACUGUGUCGUUUUGUGAAGAAGAACGCGGAAUUUUUUCAUUGUCAAUGUGCCAAUGUGCUGUAUGCUCCCGCUCCGGAAAAUAUACCAUAAAUCAUUAUUGUAAUUAAUAUAAUAAUAUAUUAAUAAUCUGGAAAAACUUUCAAAUUGUAAUUACUAUAUUAUGACAAUAAUAAUUUUACAAUUUUUUA